GCCGACGUAGCUCAAUGGUAGAGCAACAGUUUUGUAAACUGUAGGUUGCGGGUUCAAUUCCUGUCGUCGGCUCCA
RNAcentral lists this transfer RNA (75 nucleotides) under Patescibacteria group bacterium. Its description in RNAcentral is "tRNA-Thr". It matches the Rfam family "tRNA". Rfam says of the family: Transfer RNA (tRNA) molecules are approximately 80 nucleotides in length. Their secondary structure includes four short double-helical elements and three loops (D, anti-codon, and T loops). Further hydrogen bonds mediate the characteristic L-shaped molecular structure. tRNAs have two regions of fundamental functional importance: the anti-codon, which is responsible for specific mRNA codon recognition, and the 3' end, to which the tRNAs corresponding amino acid is attached (by aminoacyl-tRNA synthetases). tRNAs cope with the degeneracy of the genetic code in two manners: having more than one tRNA (with a specific anti-codon) for a particular amino acid; and 'wobble' base-pairing, i.e. permitting non-standard base-pairing at the 3rd anti-codon position. The record is from RNAcentral. RNAcentral also lists the same sequence under 1 other name.